CCCCUAGAUGUUCUGGGCCGCACGCGCGCUACACUGAACAGUUCAACAAGUCUUAACCUUGGCCGAUAGGUCUGGGUAAUCUUUGAACGCUGUUCGUGAUUGGGAUAGACCUUUGCAAUUAUGGGUCUUCAACGAGGAAUUCCUAGUAAACGCAAGUCAUCAGCUUGCAUUGAUUACGUCCCUGCCCUUUGUACACACCGCCCGUCGCACCUACCGAUUGAAUGGUCCGGUGAAAUCUCGGGACGGCGGCUUGGUCGCUUGCGUCCGACUGCUGAAACUUGAUUAAACCAUNUNAUUUAGNGGAAGGCGAANUCGUANCA
RNAcentral lists this ribosomal RNA (320 nucleotides) under uncultured eukaryote. RNAcentral describes it as "partial 18S ribosomal RNA". It matches the Rfam family "Eukaryotic small subunit ribosomal RNA", at positions 1470 to 1796 of the family's 1831-position model. The record is from RNAcentral.